GCUAAGCCCAUGUCAUGCUGAUGGUACUGCAACUUGGUGGUUGUGGGAGAGUAAGUGACUGCCGCAA
This 67-nucleotide ribosomal RNA is filed under the name Brevibacterium casei CIP 102111. The record is from RNAcentral. Lineage: Bacteria; Bacillati; Actinomycetota; Actinomycetes; Micrococcales; Brevibacteriaceae.